UACGUAGGCAGCAAGCGUUGUUCGGAAUUAUUGGGCGUAAAGGGUGCGUAGGCGGUUUGGUAAGUCUUAUGUGAAAUCUACAGGCUCAACUUGUAGUCUGCAUGAGAAACUGCCGGGCUGAGUAUGGGGAGAGGUGAGUGAAUUCCUGGUGUAGCGGUGAAAUGCGUAGAUAUCAGGAGGAACACCUGUGGCGAAAGCGGCUCACUGGACCAUAACUGACGCUGAUGCACGAAAGCUAGGGGAGCAAACAGG
This 252-nucleotide ribosomal RNA is filed under the name uncultured bacterium. RNAcentral describes it as "partial 16S ribosomal RNA". It matches the Rfam family "Bacterial small subunit ribosomal RNA", at positions 524 to 776 of the family's 1533-position model. The record is from RNAcentral.